Molecule: long non-coding RNA, 2153 nt
Filed under: Leguminivora glycinivorella
Lineage: Eukaryota; Metazoa; Arthropoda; Insecta; Lepidoptera; Tortricidae
Description: uncharacterized LOC125239787
Source: RNAcentral
UUCAUCCUCAGAGUCGAGGUCUUUCUUAGACUGGAUUACAUGGUACUCAAAGUCAGACCUGAAAAUAAAAAAUAAGAUUCUGUUAUGUUCAGUCGAACGAGAUUUCACAGUUGUACUUGUACCUCUCUCCAGCGAGGGUUAUAAAUUUUAAGUUAAAGUUAAUACCAAUACGCACUUAACUCGCAUAAAACUGCUACUUAGAAGGAUACUUAUCGGUAAAUUUAAUCGAGAACAAACAUCACUCAACACCAUAUUCAGAAUAGUUUAUAGCUAAAUAAAAUAUUACAAACUUACGAACAUUGUUUCAAGGUGAAUUUCUCCGUGUACGUAAAACUCGCACUGUAACACUUGCACUUGUUAGAAAAUAGUAGAGGAAAUGAAUAAGCCAGGGGUUUUAUUAAUAAAACGAAACUGACGUAAAGUCAUGAGUUAACAACCUAAAAGCAAAUUAUAACUAACAUAAACUACAACAUUUGCAAAAAUACAGUAAGAAACCAAUAUAAUACAAAGGUUGAUCAUCACUGUAAUAUAAUAUUCAACUCAGCUAAUUAUUGAAAAACAAAAGUGUAAUAUUUCUUUUGUCGGAAACAAGAACGAAUGUCGCCGCGUUAAGACCGCGUUCAAUGUGCAAGCUAUAAUAGCUAAUAGCUAUACUAUAUUUUGUUACUACGAAGUUAUAAAUAGAGCAUUUAACAAAUUAAAAUUACAACAGUUCGAGAUUUCAAGCCGGGUGCAUUAUCAGUUUCAAAAUCAGAAUGGGCUCGCAACCUAUUAACCACGCUGCUGAAAUGACUGAAACCACACCAUUUUAUUCGCAAGUUUGUGAAAAACCGAAUGAUCCGCUCAAUUAUUCUCAAGACAUGGAUGCGUACCUGAAAUACCAGGAUUUGCUCCUGAAUCCAUCUUUAGAAAUUCCAUUAUCAGGUACACCAGCAAAAAGUCAGAAGAAAAUCGCUAAGAAAGGAAAGAGGAAAAUAAAAGAAAUGGGUUUAAAUUCCCAUGUCAUCAGAAAGGUUACAAAAGGAAAGCGUCUGAUUAAAAUCAGUAUAUCCGAUUUGGAGCAAUCAAAUAUCGAAUCUAAUGGGGUUACAGUACAAUAUGUUGUUCAAGAUGACUAUGAUGAGUUAUUAAAUGCAACUGAAGGUCUGGUAGAAAAAAUUGUAAAAAAGUUGAGUGAAGUGAGUAAUUAUUAGAAAAUUUUAUGUUAUAAAAUGUACUUUACUUUUUAGUUAGUCGUCGUGCUUGUAAUAUAUCUCAUUACUUAAAUAAAAUGGUUUCAUGAUAAAUUAAUUGUUUUAUUUUUAACAUACUAAAACAUAGAGAAUAAAUACGAUAUUAUUUUUAGAGUUUUACCACUCACAAUAUAGUUGAAAUAUGUAUACUGAGAUCUAUUAUAUAUCAAAACCAUUUAUAAUUCAUGUAAAUCGUGAUCAUUUUAUAAGAUAAACAUAGCGAGUGAGCAACCAGGUAAACUGACUCAAAUUACAACUAAAUGAGUGAUUGCAAUUUCGCAUACUGUUCAAUGUAUGUCAUGAUUUUAAUAUAAUCAAAAUUUGAACCUUAUAUCUUUAUGAAAAGUUCUGCUUUGCAAAGUGCAGUAUAUGACAUACGCUAGCCUUUAAUUUAUACUGAACUCUUUGUUAUGGGUGUCAAAGAAGAUCAUAUUUUAUAUACGUUAUUUUAAACCAUAUAUUACAAAAUUCGUAGUAGAUAUGACGUGGGAGUACGUAAUCCGAAACAGCCAAUAGCAUAACUGGGUCUACAUCACACUUAUAAAGUUUUUACAAUGUUUCAUAUAAAUAAAAAUGGUGAUGUGUAGUAUGUCGGGUUGUGACGACCGACAACCUCAACACGUAAACCAUUCCUUGGCUUGGCCAACCGAGGCAUGUAGUGUUGAAUUCGAGACUUGGGGAUCUCUGUAUUUACGCGGUCGAUAGAUAUGGAAUCCCAUACCCGGAGGGGGUCAAACUCAAUCGAUGCAUGUAAAACGCGACUACACCAGAGUUCACACUUUGGGGGUCCAUUCGUGUUCUGCGACGCUGACGAGCUGAUCAGAUACGUUGUGUGUAAACGCCACUGUCAAUCGAGCAAACGCUUGAGAGAGACCACAUCUGAGAUUGGCCACCUCGGAGAGUGUGUUGCGUUAAGCUUUU